This 314-nucleotide ribosomal RNA is filed under the name uncultured bacterium. RNAcentral describes it as "bacterial SSU rRNA". It matches the Rfam family "Bacterial small subunit ribosomal RNA", at positions 28 to 335 of the family's 1533-position model. The record is from RNAcentral.
GACGAACGCUGGCGGCGUGCUUAAUACAUGCAAGUCAACUUGACUUUAGAUAGCAAUAUCGAAAAGUAGGGUGGCGCACGGGUGCGUAACGCGUAGGUAAUCUGCCCUGAGGUCUGACAUAACCCGUCGAAAGGCGGGCUAAACAUCAGAUGAUAUAUAAUCACGACAUCGUAGGAAAUAUCAAAUCUUCGGAGCCUUGGGAUGAGCCUGCGUCUGAUUAGGUAGUUGGCGGAGUAAUAGCCCACCAAGCCUAACGAUCAGUAGCUGGUCUGGAGAGGAUGAUCAGCCACACUGGAACUGAGACACGGUCCAGA